This 323-nucleotide ribosomal RNA is filed under the name uncultured bacterium. Its description in RNAcentral is "bacterial SSU rRNA". It matches the Rfam family "Bacterial small subunit ribosomal RNA", at positions 8 to 334 of the family's 1533-position model. The record is from RNAcentral.
AGGGUUUGAUUAUGGCUCAGGAUGAACGCUGGCGGCGCGCCUAACACAUGCAAGUCGAACGGCACCCCUCUCCGGAGGGAAGCGAGUGGCGAACGGCUGAGUAACACGUGGAGAACCUGCCCCCUCCCCCGGGAUAGCCGCCCGAAAGGACGGGUAAUACCGGAUACCCCGGGGUGCCGCAUGGCACCCCGGCUAAAGCCCCGACGGGAGGGGAUGGCUCCGCGGCCCAUCAGGUAGACGGCGGGGUGACGGCCCACCGUGCCGACAACGGGUAGCCGGGUUGAGAGACCGACCGGCCAGAUUGGGACUGAGACACGGCCCAG